UUUCAUCUUUGUUUCUUUUCCACCACAUAGUUAAUCACCCGUCAAAAGGUAAUGCAGAAUUGCGCAUAAGUUGUAAGAUCUACAGUUUUUCAGCCUCGCGCCUGACCAGUAUAAUUGAUAGCAAAGCGCAGAAGAGGAAGAUGCACGCGAAUAUGAGAAAGCAUGG
Molecule: ribosomal RNA, 166 nt
Filed under: uncultured eukaryote
Lineage: Eukaryota
Description: partial small subunit ribosomal RNA
Source: RNAcentral